GAUGAAGAACGUAGCGAAAUGCGAUAAGUAAUGUGAAUUGCAGAAUUCAGUGAAUCAUCGAAUCUUUGAACGCACAUUGCGCCCGCCAGUAUUCUGGCGGGCAUGCCUGUUCGAGCGUCAUUUCAACCAUCAAGCCCCAGGCUUGUGUUGGGGACCUGCGGCUGCCGCAGGCCCUGAAAACCAGUGGCGGGCUCGCUGUCACACCGGGCGUAGUAGAUUUUAUCUCGCUCAGGGCGUGCUGCGGGUUCCGGACGUUAAAAAGCCUUUUUUACCCAAGGUUGACCUCGGAUCAGGUAGGAAGACCCGCUGAACUUAAGCAUCUCAAUAAGCGGAGGA
RNAcentral lists this unclassified non-coding RNA (336 nucleotides) under soil metagenome. RNAcentral describes it as "partial contains 5.8S ribosomal RNA, internal transcribed spacer 2, and large subunit ribosomal RNA". The stretch from base 1 to 120 matches the Rfam family "5.8S ribosomal RNA", at positions 35 to 154 of the family's 154-position model. The record is from RNAcentral.